GGGCAUAUGGUCUAGGGGUUAUCACGCUCCCCAUGCAUGGCUUUGCACCUGCGAAAGGUCUCCGGUUCAAAUCCGGAGCUGUCCG
This is a non-coding RNA of Rhodocollybia butyracea, 85 nucleotides long. The record is from the annotation of a GenBank genome assembly. NCBI's taxonomy places the organism in Eukaryota, Fungi, Basidiomycota, Agaricomycetes, Agaricales, Omphalotaceae.